GCAGUCGUGGCUUAAUGGUUAGAGAGUUGGCCUUGUAACCUGAAGGUCAUGGGUUUGAAUCUCAGGUCCAGCA
Non-coding RNA from Pangasius djambal, 73 nucleotides. The record is from the annotation of a GenBank genome assembly. NCBI's taxonomy places the organism in Eukaryota, Metazoa, Chordata, Actinopteri, Siluriformes, Pangasiidae.